Molecule: ribosomal RNA, 491 nt
Filed under: uncultured bacterium
Lineage: Bacteria
Description: bacterial SSU rRNA
Rfam family: Bacterial small subunit ribosomal RNA
Source: RNAcentral
CGGACGAACGCUGGCGGCGUGCCUAACACAUGCAAGUCGAGCGGGGUUGAAGCGAGGGGUAACUCGGACUUCUACCUAGCGGCGGACGGGUGAGUAACGCGUGGGCAACCUGCCUCAAGGUUUGGGAUAACAGCUCGAAAGGGCUGCUAAUACCGGAUAUGCCUGUGGCCUCGCAUGGGGCUAUGAGCAAAGGGGAAACCCGCCUUGAGAUGGGCCCGCGUCCCAUCAGCUAGUUGGUGAGGUGAAGGCUCACCAAGGCGACGACGGGUAGCCGGCCUGAGAGGGUGAUCGGCCACAUUGGGACUGAGAUACGGCCCAGACUCCUACGGGAGGCAGCAGUAGGGAAUAUUGCGCAAUGGGGGGAACCCUGACGCAGCAACGCCACGUGUGGGAAGAAGCAUUUCGGUGUGUAAACCACUGUCGGAAAGGAAUAACGGAAGACUUCGGUCUUUAUGAAUGUACUUUUAGAGGAAGCACCGGCAAACUUCGUG